Molecule: ribosomal RNA, 468 nt
Filed under: uncultured bacterium
Lineage: Bacteria
Description: partial 16S ribosomal RNA
Rfam family: Bacterial small subunit ribosomal RNA
Source: RNAcentral
GACGAACGCUGGCGGCGUGCUUAACACAUGCAAGUCGAACGGAAAGGCCCUGCUUUUGUGGGGUGCUCGAGUGGCGAACGGGUGAGUAACACGUGAGUAACCUGCCCUUGACUUUGGGAUAACUUCAGGAAACUGGGGCUAAUACCGGAUAGGAGCUCCUGCUGCAUGGUGGGGGUUGGAAAGUUUCGGCGGUUGGGGAUGGACUCGCGGCUUAUCAGCUUGUUGGUGGGGUAGUGGCUUACCAAGGCUUUGACGGGUAGCCGGCCUGAGAGGGUGACCGGCCACAUUGGGACGGAGAUACGGCCCAGCCUCCUACGGGAGGCAGCAGUGGGGAAUAUUGCACAAUGGUCGGAAGCCUGAUGCAGCAACGCCGCGUGCGGGAUGACGGCCUUCGGGUUGUAAACCGCUUUCGCCUGUGACGAAGCGUGAGUGACGGUAAUGGGUAAAGAAGCACCGGCUAAGUACGUG